ACCCGUCUAGCUCAGUCUGUAGAGCUCCAGCCUUUUAAGCUGGUGGUAGAGGGUUAGAGCCCCUCGGUGCGUG
This 73-nucleotide transfer RNA is filed under the name Tetrahymena thermophila SB210. RNAcentral describes it as "Tetrahymena thermophila tRNA-Lys for anticodon UUU". It matches the Rfam family "tRNA". From Rfam's summary of the family: Transfer RNA (tRNA) molecules are approximately 80 nucleotides in length. Their secondary structure includes four short double-helical elements and three loops (D, anti-codon, and T loops). Further hydrogen bonds mediate the characteristic L-shaped molecular structure. tRNAs have two regions of fundamental functional importance: the anti-codon, which is responsible for specific mRNA codon recognition, and the 3' end, to which the tRNAs corresponding amino acid is attached (by aminoacyl-tRNA synthetases). tRNAs cope with the degeneracy of the genetic code in two manners: having more than one tRNA (with a specific anti-codon) for a particular amino acid; and 'wobble' base-pairing, i.e. permitting non-standard base-pairing at the 3rd anti-codon position. The record is from Rfam by way of RNAcentral. Lineage: Eukaryota; Ciliophora; Oligohymenophorea; Hymenostomatida; Tetrahymenidae.